Molecule: ribosomal RNA, 505 nt
Filed under: uncultured bacterium
Lineage: Bacteria
Description: SSU rRNA
Rfam family: Bacterial small subunit ribosomal RNA
Source: RNAcentral
AGGACGAACGCUGGCGGCGUGCUUAACACAUGCAAGUGGUGCGACGAACCAGGCUUCGGCCUGGGGCAAAGCCGCGAACGGGUGAGUAACACGUGGGUAACCUACCCCGAAGACCGGGACAACCCGGGGAAACCCGAGCUAAUACCGGAUGUGUCCACUUUCUUCAAGGAAGGUGAACAAAGGAAGCUUCGGCCUCCGCUUCGGGCGGGGCCCGCGGCCCAUUAGCUUGUUGGUGAGGUAACGGCUCACCAAGGCGACGAUGGGUAGCUGGUCUGAGAGGACGAUCAGCCACACUGGGACUGAGACACGGCCCAGACUCCUACGGGAGGCAGCAGUGGGGAAUCUUGCGCAAUGGGCGACAGCCUGACGCAGCAACGCCGCGUGGGGGAAGACGGCCUUCGGGUUGUAACCCCUUUCAGGAGGGACGAAGCUCCGGUAGCGAAUAGCUGUCCGGAGUGACGGUACCUCACGAAGAAGCCCCGGCUAACUACGUGCCAGCAGCCGC